UGAGGAAUAUUGGGCAAUGCCCGCAAGGGUGACCCAGCAACGCCGCGUGGAGGAUGAAUGUCGUAAGAUUGUAAACUCCUGUUAGAGGGGAAGAAUAGUACCGGUUGGACCGGUAUAUGACUGUACCCUCAGAGAAAGCCCCGGCUAACUACGUGCCAGCAGCCGCGGUAAUACGUAGGGGGCAAGCGUUGUCCGGAUUUACUGGGUGUAAAGGGCGCGCAGGCGGGAUAAAAAGUCAGUGGUGAAAUCCUACAGCUUAACUGUAGAACUGCCUUUGAUACUUUUAUUCUUGAGUUCGGGAGAGAGAGACGGAAUUCCAGGUGUAGUGGUGAAAUACGUAGAUAUCUGGAAGAACACCAGUUGCGAAGGCGGUCUCUUGGUCCGACACUGACGCUGAGGCGCGAAGGCGUGGGGAGCAAACA
This 422-nucleotide ribosomal RNA is filed under the name uncultured bacterium. RNAcentral's name for it is "bacterial SSU rRNA". It matches the Rfam family "Bacterial small subunit ribosomal RNA", at positions 355 to 774 of the family's 1533-position model. The record is from RNAcentral.